RNA transcript from Otolemur garnettii (small-eared galago), 849 nucleotides. It is a transcript of the gene named centromere protein V pseudogene, with no coding region annotated. The transcript has a single exon. NCBI's taxonomy places the organism in Eukaryota, Metazoa, Chordata, Mammalia, Primates, Galagidae. The record is from RefSeq and is a predicted model, not a curated record.
GCUGGCACCAUGGGCAGAGUGAAGAACCGAUCCAGUGCUCAGCGGCGGAGGCGAAAGCGGCCUGGGGAUCCUGCCGCCGCCUUCGCAGCCAUCGCGGUCAUGGGCGCCAGCCGUGAGCGGUGCCCCCCUGUCCAAGUCGGGGUUGGGAGCCACGCGGCCGGGAAGGAGCUGGCAGCUGCCAGAAGGUGGCGGGGAAGGUCGCGGCGGAAGCGCUGGUGGCGGCGGGUCCGACAUGCGGGCCCCAGAGAUGCGCUGCCCCCAGGGCCAUCCCGGAACCGGGCCCCCGCCGCGUCCCCCCAGGAGCUGGACCUGGGCGCACAGCGCGAGCGCUGGGAGAAGUUCAGGAGGCUGCGGGGCCUCAGCUGCGAGGGCGCCGCCAAGGUCCUGCUGGACACCUUCGAGUAUCCAGGCCUGGUGUAUCACACUGGGGGUUGUCACUGCGGCGCGGUCCGCUUUGCGGCCUGGGCCCCAGCAGAUCUGCGCGUGCUGGAUUGCAGCUGCAGGCUGUGUACGAAGAAGCAGCACCGCCACUUCCUGGUACCGGCCUCGCGCUUCACGCUGCUCCAGGGUGCGGAGAGCUUGGUCACCUAUCUAUCCAACACUCACCCGGCGCUGCACAGCUUCUGCAGCAGAUGCGGGGUGCAGAGUUUCCACUCAGUCGUCUCUGACCCCCGGGUGUACGGCGUCGCCCCGCACUGCCUGGACGCCGGCACCGUGCGCAGCGUGGUCGUCGAGGAGGUCGACUGUGGCGAUCAGGAGGAGGAGGCCACCAAGGAGCACAAGACCUCGCUGAACGCAUCCACCGAGGCAGCCCUUGCCUGUCCCGCCGAAAAGGAGCAGUGACUGGGG